Ctenocephalides felis (cat flea) is the source of this 752-nucleotide long non-coding RNA. RefSeq lists it as uncharacterized. NCBI's taxonomy places the organism in Eukaryota, Metazoa, Arthropoda, Insecta, Siphonaptera, Pulicidae. The record is from RefSeq and is a predicted model, not a curated record. The transcript is spliced from 6 exons.
UUAUUGUACUUCCUCUUUCUUUCCAAGCAACGAGAGCACGAGGACGUAUUUAUUAUUAUAAGAAUAUAAUGUUUAUAUUUAGGAUUUCACACAAACAUGUGUCGCGUUUUACGUGGAGAAAUAGCAUUGCAUCGUGAGGGAAACAUGCGAUUCAAGCAGGUGUCUUAUGAUGUAAAUACCAAAAAUUCUCCCAAUGCUCUGAAGGAGUGAAAAGUAGUUGAGCAAUGAGCAAUGCAGCUCGUUUGGAAUGAGAAACCACAUUGAGAAAGCAUUCUUAUUCAAGGGGUGUCUUAUGAUGUAAAUACCAGAAACACUCCCAAUGCUCAGAAGAAGUAAUAAGUAGCUGAACAAGGAGCAAUGCAGCUCGUUUGGAAUGAGAAACCACAUUGAGAAAGCAUUCUUGUUCAAGGGGUGUCUUUUGAUGUAAACACCAAAAACACUCCCAAUGCUCAGAAGAAGUAAUAAGUAGCUGAACAAGGAGCAAUGCAGCUCGUUUGGAAUGAGAAACCACAUUGAGAAAGAAUUCUUAUUCAAGGGGCAUUUUAUGAUGUUAAUACCCUAUAUGAUGCUUGGGAGAAAUUAGCUGAACAAUUUGCUAACCAGCUUCUUGAAAAUAUGAAACCAGAUUGGUUUACUGCAUAUUCAAGUUGUAUCUUCAAAUGGAAAGCUCUCUGAUUAUGAAAAGACUAGCUGAACAAUGUGCAGCAAUUUUACAAUUUAAAGUACAUACAAGAAUGUCCUUGACAAUUUGC